AACGUAGGUGGCGAGCGUUAUCCGGAUUUACUGGGCGUAAAGGGUGUGCGGGCGGAAACUCAAGUGGUGUAUGAAAUCGCCCGGCUCAACCGGGUGGGGUUAUGCCAGACUGGGUUUCUAGAGACCGAGAGAGGGGCGUGGAAUUCCGGGUGUAGUGGUGAAAUGCGUAGAGAUCCGGAGGAACCCCAGAGGCGAAGGCGGCGCCCUAGCUCGGUUCUGACGCUCAGACACGAAAGCAUGGGGAGCGAACGGG
This 253-nucleotide ribosomal RNA is filed under the name uncultured bacterium. Its description in RNAcentral is "partial 16S ribosomal RNA". It matches the Rfam family "Bacterial small subunit ribosomal RNA", at positions 524 to 776 of the family's 1533-position model. The record is from RNAcentral.